CACUCGGGGAAAAGAGGCC
RNAcentral lists this microRNA (19 nucleotides) under Apis mellifera (honey bee). RNAcentral describes it as "ame-miR-6003-5p". Lineage: Eukaryota; Metazoa; Arthropoda; Insecta; Hymenoptera; Apidae. The record is from miRBase by way of RNAcentral.